Molecule: small nucleolar RNA, 106 nt
Organism: Cynara cardunculus var. scolymus (artichoke)
Lineage: Eukaryota; Viridiplantae; Streptophyta; Magnoliopsida; Asterales; Asteraceae
Source: RefSeq, a predicted model, not a curated record
AUGCCAUGGUGUGGACAUUUCUUUAACAGCUCUUUAAACCUCUCCAUGCAUCGAGAACAACUUCAUUGUCCAUUUGUUUAAACAGACAUAUUUCAUUUCUGGACUU